GAUGUAUGAUGAGUUUUAAUAUAUAUCUGACUCUAAAGCUGAUGUCUCAUCAUUUUAGCUCUAGAAUUACUCUGACAUCUG
This is a small nucleolar RNA of Elgaria multicarinata webbii, 81 nucleotides long. RefSeq annotates it as small nucleolar RNA SNORD45. NCBI's taxonomy places the organism in Eukaryota, Metazoa, Chordata, Lepidosauria, Squamata, Anguidae. The transcript has a single exon. The record is from RefSeq and is a predicted model, not a curated record.